Long non-coding RNA from Drosophila virilis, 2505 nucleotides. RefSeq lists it as uncharacterized. NCBI's taxonomy places the organism in Eukaryota, Metazoa, Arthropoda, Insecta, Diptera, Drosophilidae. The record is from RefSeq and is a predicted model, not a curated record.
CCAGAUCCCAAUAUUGUGUCAAAUUGUUUGCAAACAUUGUUUCUCAAGUUCAAACUGAAACCUUUGUUAAUAUGUCGAUUACGAUUACGAUCGAUAACAACCUUAAUGCCUGCAUGAAGCAAUUCUAGGAAGCCCGACAGCAUCAGGAGCAGCAGGAGCAACAGCCACCUAAGCCGAAGCUGACGAGGCGUUGACAAGCCGCAUUGUCAUCAAUUUUGCCUUUGAUAAAAUAUACAUACAUAUAACAGGGGGGGAGGAUGAUGGAAACACGGAAUAGGUGGUUGGUCAACCGUUUAAUGGGCUUAUAGUUUAGAUUAUGAAACAUUUUUUUAAUUUAUGCACAAUUUCGCUUGGGCCCACAGCAGAAGGAGCUCCCACAAAUAGGUCAUUGUCACAAAAUACAAGCAAUUGGUUUCGACCAUGGGAAUGGGCAAAAGGUGCGAGUACCGCAUGAAAUUGGCCCCGAAAUCAGGUUAGAUGUGCGGGCAAACGUUUGCGACCCACGGGUUAAACUGGCGCAGAAGAAUGGACCUAAAUGGAUUAACGCUUCAAUGAGAAUUCAUUUAAAAACUGAACUGAAGCAGCGCAUAAGCAGCACAACGAACUCGAUCCCAUGCUCAGACGAAUCCUUUUUUCCAAUCAAUUGUUCACACAGCCAGGCUCCAGUGCUCCGUAUCGAGUGCUGAGUGGUUUUAAAUUACACGAUGUCUGAAAUAUGAGGAAGAGUAAUUCUUCAACAUUUCUGUAGUGUCGUAUCGAGAUACAAGAUGCCAGAUAUGGUCCGCUCAAGCGCAAAACCUAUAACAAUUCGUGGAAGUAACAUGUUAAUUGAAUUAUCAAUGGAUGCUAAACACCUACGAGAUCUCGCUUGAGCCUCGUUACCAGCUUUUGUCAGACACGAUAGCCCUGAAUUAUUUCAUUAUUUCAUUUAAGCAAUAAAGGUUUUCGAGUGUCGUUUUCCGGCAUGGGAAAACCCCUAAGACCCAACAUGAUACCUAUCUUUUGCAAAGGAUUAUAUUUCACAGUCUUCUCUUUAAGCGCUGACAGCUAAAAGAUCGAUAGUUUUUAUUAACAGAUAUAUUUAUUACUUGAACUAGUUUACUUCAGUAUAUAAGAAUAUAAAUAUUUAAAGCUAUUUAUACAAUGCCCUUAUUUACGCGUUAGCUUAACUGGCAAAUGCGUUUUGACCCGAAAAGAUUCAGAUACAUAUUUCAUCUCAACAUGGCACAAAAACUUUCUUUCAGUGGCUAUAAGUCAAGCAUAUCCCGAUGGCCUGGCCUCAAAACAUCCAUGUAAAAGAAAUAACUCGUGUACUUUUGUAUGCCACAGCAUUUUAUUGAUAAACUUGUGCCAUAGUCACAGACCGCAGCAAAUCUAAGGACCACAACUCGGUUCAAUGUGCAAUGAGCCCAGAAAAGCCAACUCCGCUCCGUGCAUGUCUACGGCAAUAGCCGCUUCCAUGUUACCCUUGUUGCUGUGCUCCCUCAAGACCCUGGCGCAAUCGAAACCCAGUUGUCGCAGACCAGAAUAGCCUUGGGAAACACUUUUUUCUAUGAACUCCCAGAGAGCUCAAACUUUAUGGCACUUGUUCUGGUUAGAGACGAGUUGGGGAGGUGCAGACGACACCAUUUGCAAAUCGAGACAACGCGACUAGUUGAGAGUCCCCAUGCUCGGAAUGAUUAACCAGUACGCACUGGCAAACCGGCUGGUGAGCUGCGUUCCGAGCUGCUCAAUAAAAAUAAAUUAAAAUCAAUCAAAUUAAAAAAUAUAGUUGGUCUGAAGCAGUGACCGCUCUGCUCACACUUGGGCGAUGAUGCGAAAAAACUAAUGAGCAUUUCCCUAGGUCUAUGGCGAAAAGUCAGCCCCCAGCGCCUACCGGCUCUCCCGAGCGUACGUGAGGACGCCUCAAUGGAGUGUUUAAUUUAUGCGUCACAUAUGUCACCACCAACUAAAAAAGAAAGAGACAGAGCGACGGACCUCCCCUUUACCCAAGGACGGAGCCCAGGUACACAAACCUUCUACCAGCUCUGGGCUCUCACGUAGGCUACCCGUCUGGCCGUGGCCAAAAAUUUAAUUAAAUUUCACGUUGCACGAGUGCUUCUAUUAUUAUUAUGGAAGUUCAUAUGCGAGACUUGUCAUUUUCCCCAUUCCUGUUCUGGUUCAGUUCUCCAGACGAAUCAAGUGCCAAAAUAAUAAACAAGCUGGUUUUCUAACAAACCUUAACUGGGAGCACAGUAAAAAUAUUCAACGUUUCUAAGUUAUUAAUGUGCCGGACCAAGCAUAUGUAUAUACUUAUAUAUAUAGCUCAUAACAUCUAAUAUCUCAUAAUAUCCCAUAAUCUAAGUAUAUUCUCAUAUUGUAGUAUAUAUAAUAUUUUUUAUUUCGCUGUUUACCGAGCGGGAGAAAGCAAGAAAACUAUAAAUACAAUUAUUUAAAUCAGAAGUCGGUGAUCAUAGAAAUGAUACAAUAAACAUGUAGAUUACAAAUUUCUGUAAAGAAACCUAA